Molecule: long non-coding RNA, 361 nt
Filed under: Felis catus (domestic cat)
Lineage: Eukaryota; Metazoa; Chordata; Mammalia; Carnivora; Felidae
Description: lncRNA (ENSFCAG00000049741.1)
Source: RNAcentral
AUGGCAUCUGGGAGCUCUAAUCCAGCUGUAGGAUGGUCUGGCCCCUUCUCUGAGGGACUCUCUCAGUCAGAUUCCCUGACACAGGACCGAAUUGGGGAGAAUGUUGGGAGGCGAGCGCUCGUAACAAAAGCCCAGCUUUACAACCCUCCGCCUAUUUCCAGCAUUGUGUGAUCAGAGCGUCUCCUUCUGUUAAAUCCCCCAUCACCUGGAGAAGGUAAAUUAAAACAAACAGCCACAAAAAAACUACUCUGCCAUGCUUAGAUUCAAGUUAAGGCCUCACAGCUGAAUUUUGUUAAAGGAAUCUUUGCUGAGUCCUCUCUGGACCUGAGUCCUUGACAGGAUUCUGUCUGGUCUUUGUCAC